GAUUAUGAGCAAUAAAGCGGCUUGAUUUCGACUUAAGUAAUGGAUUUAUUAGUGAAAUUC
This 60-nucleotide transfer RNA is filed under the name Neoscona adianta. RNAcentral describes it as "tRNA-Arg". The record is from RNAcentral. Lineage: Eukaryota; Metazoa; Arthropoda; Arachnida; Araneae; Araneidae.